GAUCAAUGAUGAAAAUAGCCAGAUCUGAGCAUCUAAAAACCUUCUAGUCUACCUAUGCGUGAUCCCUGUGUGUGUGUGU
RNAcentral lists this small nucleolar RNA (79 nucleotides) under Tursiops truncatus (common bottlenose dolphin). Its description in RNAcentral is "Small nucleolar RNA U2-19 (ENSTTRG00000023749.1)". It matches the Rfam family "Small nucleolar RNA U2-19". From Rfam's summary of the family: U2-19 is a member of the C/D class of snoRNA which contain the C (UGAUGA) and D (CUGA) box motifs. The record is from RNAcentral. Lineage: Eukaryota; Metazoa; Chordata; Mammalia; Artiodactyla; Delphinidae.